This 253-nucleotide ribosomal RNA is filed under the name uncultured bacterium. Its description in RNAcentral is "partial 16S ribosomal RNA". It matches the Rfam family "Bacterial small subunit ribosomal RNA", at positions 524 to 776 of the family's 1533-position model. The record is from RNAcentral.
UACAGAGGGCUCAAGCGUUGUUCGGAUUCAUUGGGCGUAAAGGGUGCGUAGGCGGCCAGGUAGGUCUGGUGUGAAAACUCGAGGCUUAACCUCGAGAUGUCAUCGGAAACCAUCUGGCUAGAGUCCGGAAGAGGAGAGUGGAAUUCCUGGUGUAGCGGUGAAAUGCGCAGAUAUCAGGAAGAACACCAAUGGCGAAAGCAGCUCUCUGGGACGGUACUGACGCUGAGACGCGAAAGCGUGGGGAGCGAACAGG